Dermacentor andersoni is the source of this 330-nucleotide long non-coding RNA. RefSeq lists it as uncharacterized. The record is from RefSeq and is a predicted model, not a curated record. NCBI's taxonomy places the organism in Eukaryota, Metazoa, Arthropoda, Arachnida, Ixodida, Ixodidae.
AGGUGUCAGCUCCUAAGCGCUCCGGAAUGAAGCUCACAAUCGUCAUCUUCUUGGCUGCCUUGAUCGCAAUCGGUCAUGGUCACAUUACUUUAGAAGAUCCUCAACACCAAGCACCCCAGCGCCACCACAGCAAGCAGAAACAAGGUCACGUGCACACCGUUGAAUAUCACUUCGGUGCUGGACGACCGGGAAUGGGGUGGAACCAAUUAGGCUAGUCCCUCACGCAUCGAUGCACCCCAAAACGACACGCAACGACCACGGACCACACGACGAAACGACUGCGCGCGCCGGAGCAAAAAAUAAAAGAGGGUGUUUUGCUUCGGCCACUUU